Molecule: transfer RNA, 99 nt
Filed under: Kitasatospora griseola
Lineage: Bacteria; Bacillati; Actinomycetota; Actinomycetes; Kitasatosporales; Streptomycetaceae
Description: tRNA-Ile
Source: RNAcentral
GACGUGACCGGGGCGACCGGCGGCUCCGACGGUGCUGAUGGCGCUGACGGUAUCGCCGCGAGUGACGAUGCGGAUCGUUCGGACUCGGACUCCGUGUCG